Molecule: ribosomal RNA, 253 nt
Filed under: uncultured bacterium
Lineage: Bacteria
Description: partial 16S ribosomal RNA
Rfam family: Bacterial small subunit ribosomal RNA
Source: RNAcentral
GACGAAGGGGGCUAGCGUUGUUCGGAAUUACUGGGCGUAAAGCGCGUGUAGGCGGUUGUUCAAGUCAGGUGUGAAAGCCUUGAGCUCAACUCAAGAAAUGCACUUGAUACUGGAUGACUAGAGGACCGGAGAGGAUAGUGGAAUUCCCAGUGUAGUGGUGAAAUACGUAGAGAUUGGGAAGAACACCAGUGGCGAAGGCGGCUAUCUGGACGGUUUCUGACGCUAAGACGCAAAAGCGUGGGGAGCAAACAGG